AACCGAAUUUCUCGUAGAUGUCGAUCGUCGGCCAUUUCGAGGGGAUCAACCGGCGAUACCGGUUAUCGAUUGAGAUUUGCGGGUACGCCAACUUAACCCCCGCGCUGGGNGACGUAUUGUCGUACCCUUAUGAUGUCACUCAAAUUUCCGCUUAACAUGAUGUCGAGCGCUGGUGCCCCCUCGAAAUAUCGGUUUGGUCGGCGAAUCCAGCGCACCGCGGCCUCUGGCGAGUCGAGCAGAAUGCUGAGGGCUUUGUACACGGAGCCUAGGUG
This 272-nucleotide unclassified non-coding RNA is filed under the name Hevea brasiliensis (rubber tree). The record is from RNAcentral. Lineage: Eukaryota; Viridiplantae; Streptophyta; Magnoliopsida; Malpighiales; Euphorbiaceae.